RNAcentral lists this ribosomal RNA (503 nucleotides) under uncultured bacterium. RNAcentral describes it as "partial 16S ribosomal RNA". It matches the Rfam family "Bacterial small subunit ribosomal RNA", at positions 30 to 523 of the family's 1533-position model. The record is from RNAcentral.
AUUGAACGCUGGCGGCAGGCUUAACACAUGCAAGUCGAGCGGAGUGAUGGUGCUUGCACUAUCACUUAGCGGCGGACGGGUGAGUAAUGCUUAGGAAUCUGCCUAUUAGUGGGGGACAACAUCUCGAAAGGGAUGCUAAUACCGCAUACGUCCUACGGGAGAAAGCAGGGGAUCACUUGUGACCUUGCGCUAAUAGAUGAGCCUAAGUCGGAUUAGCUAGUUGGUGGGGUAAAGGCCUACCAAGGCGACGUUCUGUAGCGGGUCUGAGAGGAUGAUCCGCCACACUGGGACUGAGACACGGCCCAGACUCCUACGGGAGGCAGCAGUGGGGAAUAUUGGAAAAUGGGGGGAACCCUGAUCCAGCCAUGCCGCGUGUGUGAAGAAGGCCUAAUGGUUGUAAAGCACUUUAAGCGAGGAGGGGGCUCUUUUGGUUAAUACCCAAGAUGAGUGGACGUUACUCGCAGAAUAAGCACCGGCUAACUCUGUGCCAGCAGCCGCCGCCG